This 308-nucleotide ribosomal RNA is filed under the name uncultured soil bacterium. RNAcentral's name for it is "bacterial SSU rRNA". It matches the Rfam family "Bacterial small subunit ribosomal RNA", at positions 26 to 334 of the family's 1533-position model. The record is from RNAcentral.
AGAUUGAACGCUGGCGGCAGGCCUAACACAUGCAAGUCGAGCGGUAGAGAGGUGCUUGCACCUCUUGAGAGCGGCGGACGGGUGAGUAAUGCCUAGGAAUCUGCCUAGUGGUGGGGGAUAACGUUCGGAAACGGACGCUAAUACCGCAUACGUCCUACGGGAGAAAGCGGGGGACCUUCGGGCCUCGCGCCAUUAGAUGAGCCUAGGUCGGAUUAGCUAGGUUGGUGAGGUAAUGGCUCACCAAGGCGACGAUCCGUAACUGGUCUGAGAGGAUGAUCAGUCACACUGGAACUGAGACCACGGUCCAG